ACCUGGCUGGCUCGGUCUGUAAAGCAUGGGACUCUUGAUCUCAAGGUUGUGAGUUUAAGACCCAUGUUGGGUA
RNAcentral lists this transfer RNA (73 nucleotides) under Felis catus (domestic cat). It matches the Rfam family "tRNA". Rfam says of the family: Transfer RNA (tRNA) molecules are approximately 80 nucleotides in length. Their secondary structure includes four short double-helical elements and three loops (D, anti-codon, and T loops). The record is from Rfam by way of RNAcentral. Lineage: Eukaryota; Metazoa; Chordata; Mammalia; Carnivora; Felidae.